This 1480-nucleotide long non-coding RNA is filed under the name Mus pahari (shrew mouse). RNAcentral describes it as "lncRNA (MGP_PahariEiJ_G0005415.1)". Lineage: Eukaryota; Metazoa; Chordata; Mammalia; Rodentia; Muridae. The record is from RNAcentral.
AGUUUGCAGGCUGGCAAACAGGCUGGAAAAGCCCUUGAGAGACUCAGACAGCUCACGCCAUGCUUCAGACUUCAUAGACCUGGGAGACAUCCAGCUUUCUCCCCCAGAGAAGCCGCAGCCUGGUCCCUUCCCCUGCCACACCAUCUGGUCCACAGAAACACCAGACUUCCGUGUCUCUCAGCCCUAUAAAAAGCAACAUUCCUUAUCCUGUCUUCUCUCCACCAGUCCCUCCCGCCCACCCGUGUCUCCUCUCUCCUUGCCUUUGGUCUUUCUGUCUUAUUCCUUCUCCCCUGCCAAUCACUUCCUUUCUUCCCAACACUCCUCCUCCAUCUCCCCUCUGUGCACCUGCAGUGCUAUUCUUUGUCUAACGAUGAAAACAUCCUGAUGGGCUUCUAGAACAUUCGUAUGUCUGGAGGAGUCAGAGUCCUCCAGUACCGGGGUUGGCAAUUCUGCCUCCUUAGCUUCCAGGACAGCAUUUAUUCCGAGGCUUUGUGCGCCCUCUUGUGGUUUCUCCGUCAUGCCAACUCCCGCAGACAAUGGCUGCUUUGUCCAGGAGAGAGGAUUUAGAUGACAACUGGGCUUAAACCUCAGAAAUCUUCAAUCUCUGCUUCUUCAAACAGUUUGUAUUAGAAGGGUGGCUGGGAAAAAUGAAGUCCUUAUGCACGGAGCCACCGCGUUUCACGGCGAUGUUCACCUGGCCCAUGAAGAUCUCCGGACAUAAAACCAGGCAACAAAAUCAGGAUGCAACAGGCUGGAGGGGCAAAGCACAGAAGUGGAAUGGGUCCUGCCAUAGGAUGGUGAUGCGUCCGAUCUUGUGCAGGUCUUGUACACAGAAGAGCAGCAGCUGCAAGCUCAGGAAUGAAACGGCCACACCGUGCACAGAAGACAGUGCCCCAUGAUGGAUUCUCCGUUUCUUCCUCAGACACCCACUGUGAAGAAACACUUGAGUGUCACUGGCCAUGAGAGUCAUCUGGAUUUCAGUGAUAACUGGAUCCUCCUCCUGUUCCCAAGGCUACCCAUCAAUGUCUGUGUGCCAGAUGUUGCUGGGGCUGCUCAGUCCUGCAAGGCUCUGACGCCAGCCUUCUAGUAGAAGAAAUGUGCAGCUGAAAGCCUCUCUUAGUCUCUUCACUGAUAGCCAAUGGAAUGCCCAUUUGAGCCAAUUUGGGGGAAGAGAUUAUUAGCAGAAAUGAGGUAAACACUAAAAGGCAAAAUGGAUCACCUUCCAGAGUCAGCUGCCACCACUCUAUGACAGAUCAGCCACAUGAAAGGACAGUCAGUUAUUAUUCCCUCUCACUAUAUACAUUCAAAGUCAGCAGAUCUGUAAGAUAUUCCAGACAAAGCAUCCGUAGCAAAGAAUUAAGAUCUAAAUGCAACAAUUCAAAAGCCAGGAGAGAGACCAAGAAGUGCAUGAUAGCUUUAUUAUUCUAAAUUGCCCAUUUUAGCACCGAUUCUAAAAUUGAAAUAGAGCAAAUUCUGCCUC